AUAUGAGUGAGGCUACUAUACUAUCGGAAGCACGGAGCUUUCCGUGCUUUCAGCUCGUUUUCGAUGUUGCGACUUUCGAAUCGUCAAUCGGCCCCGUUAAACUUGAUCUAGAGUAUUUGAAGUACCUAGAAAAUAAAUUUUAUGAUUUUACGAUAUCAUUUGCCUAGUGAACAGAGGGGCUCAAAAUCAACGGCUGAAAAUAAAAAUCUUACAAAAUGUAAUAAUAUGACAUUAAAAUUUUAAAUCAAAAAUAUUGAUCUUGUAAAAGAAUUUUCUAUCAAAAUUUCACGUGAUUCGAUAUUUCUACACUGUUAAACUUGCAAACGGCUCACUACGGCCAUUGAAAUUUGUUGAUUUUGAGCCCAUUCAAUUACUAGG
RNAcentral lists this long non-coding RNA (378 nucleotides) under Ananas comosus (pineapple). Its description in RNAcentral is "long non-coding RNA (ACOM_LNC000048)". Lineage: Eukaryota; Viridiplantae; Streptophyta; Magnoliopsida; Poales; Bromeliaceae. The record is from RNAcentral.